CAGCCGCCACGGGAAUACAGAGGGUGCGAGCGUUAAUCGGAUUUACUGGGCGUAAAGCGUGCGUAGGCGGCUUUUUAAGUCGGAUGUGAAAUCCCUGAGCUUAACUUAGGAAUUGCAUUCGAUACUGGUUAGCUAGAGUGUGGGAGAGGAUGGUAGAAUUCCAGGUGUAGCGGUGAAAUGCGUAGAGAUCUGGAGGAAUACCGAUGGCGAAGGCAGCCAUCUGGCCUAACACUGACGCUGAGGUACGAAAGCAUGGGGAGCAAACAGGAUUAGAUACCCGUGUAGUCCCUGUCUCUUAUAC
This 301-nucleotide ribosomal RNA is filed under the name uncultured bacterium. RNAcentral describes it as "partial 16S ribosomal RNA". It matches the Rfam family "Bacterial small subunit ribosomal RNA", at positions 509 to 807 of the family's 1533-position model. The record is from RNAcentral.